UACGUAGGGGGCAAGCGUUAUCCGGAUUUACUGGGUGUAAAGGGAGCGUAGACGGCUUUGCAAGCCAGAUGUGAAAGCCCGGGGCUCAACCCCGGGACUGCAUUUGGAACUGUGUGGCUAGAGUGUCGGAGAGGCAGGCGGAACUCCUAGUGUAGCGGUGAAAUGCGUAGAUAUUAGGAGGAACACCAGUGGCGAAGGCGGCCUGCUGGACGAUGACUGACGUUGAGGCUCGAAAGCGUGGGGAGCAAACAGG
This 253-nucleotide ribosomal RNA is filed under the name uncultured bacterium. Its description in RNAcentral is "partial 16S ribosomal RNA". It matches the Rfam family "Bacterial small subunit ribosomal RNA", at positions 524 to 776 of the family's 1533-position model. The record is from RNAcentral.